UUACGGCCAUAUCAGGUUGAAACAUUGGUUCCCGUACAAUCACCGAAGUUAAACAACGUUAAGCCUAGUCAGUCCCUUGAUGGAUGACCGCUUGAGAAUACCAGAUUGUUACA
Molecule: non-coding RNA, 113 nt
Organism: Acanthosepion pharaonis
Lineage: Eukaryota; Metazoa; Mollusca; Cephalopoda; Sepiida; Sepiidae
Source: the annotation of a GenBank genome assembly